UCCCAAUUCAUAGCGGGAGGAAAAGGAAACCAACCGGGAUUGCCUCAGUAACGGCGAGUGAAGCGGCAAAAGCUCAAAUUUGAAAUCUGGCGUCUUUUGGCGUCCGAGUUGUAAUUUGAAGAACGGUUCCUGCGUUUGCGCACUUGUCUAUGUUCCUUGGAACAGGACGUCAGAGAGGGUGAGAAUCCCGUUCGAUGGGUGCGCGUUCGCUUGUGGAGCCAGUUCGACGAGUCGAGUUGUUUGGGAAUGCAGCUCUAAGUGGGUGGUAAAUUCCAUCUAAAGCUAAAUAUUGGCGAGAGACCGAUAGCGAACAAGUACAGUGAUGGAAAGAUGAAAAGAACUUUGAAAAGAGAGUGAAAAAGUACGUGAAAUUGUUGAAAGGGAAGGGCAUUUGAUCAGACUUGGCGGGGCAGUACUGGCGUCCACUUGUGGGGCGUUUACUGGUGCUCUGCUGGGCCAGCAUCGAUUUGUGCGGCAGGAGAAUUGGGCGGGAACGUGGCUGUGCUUCGGGACAGUGUUAUAGCCCGCUCGGAUGCUGCCAGCGUGGAUCGAGGACUGCGUUCUUUUUGGACUAGGAUGCCUGGCGUAAUGAUCUAAUGCCGCCGUCUGAAACACGAUCGACGACGAC
Molecule: ribosomal RNA, 628 nt
Filed under: Starmera stellimalicola
Lineage: Eukaryota; Fungi; Ascomycota; Saccharomycetes; Phaffomycetales; Phaffomycetaceae
Description: eukaryotic LSU rRNA
Rfam family: Eukaryotic large subunit ribosomal RNA
Source: RNAcentral